GUGUCAGCAGCCGCGGUAAUACAGAGGUCUCAACCGUUGUUCGGAUUCAUUGGGCGUAAAGGGUGCGUAGGCGGUCGCGUAAGUCAGGUGUGAAAUCUCAGGGCUCAACCCUGAAACUGCACUUGAUACUGCGUGGCUCGGGUACUGGAGAGGAGACUGGAAUUUACGGUGUAGCAGUGAAAUGCGUAGAUAUCGUAAGGAAGACCAGUGGCGAAGGCGAGUCUCUGGACAGUUACCGACGCUGAGGCACGAAGGUCAGGGGAGCAAACGGGAUUAGAUACCCCCGUAGUCC
Molecule: ribosomal RNA, 292 nt
Filed under: uncultured bacterium
Lineage: Bacteria
Description: partial 16S ribosomal RNA
Rfam family: Bacterial small subunit ribosomal RNA
Source: RNAcentral